CGCGAAGUAGAGCAGCGGUAGCUCGUCGGGCUCAUAACCCGAAGGUCGGUGGUUCGAACCCAUCCUUCGCAACAA
Molecule: transfer RNA, 75 nt
Filed under: Ilyomonas limi
Lineage: Bacteria; Pseudomonadati; Bacteroidota; Chitinophagia; Chitinophagales; Chitinophagaceae
Description: Panacibacter sp. 17mud1-8 tRNA-Met
Rfam family: tRNA
About the family: Transfer RNA (tRNA) molecules are approximately 80 nucleotides in length.
Source: RNAcentral